UGUCUUAAGCUCUUUUCUUUUAAUAACACCAGUUGCAUUUUCUAAAAAUAGGGUGCAGUCAUAUGCAUAAAGCGGAUGUAUGACAGGGAUUGCCACUCGGUCUACUUGAAAACAAACCUCUUCUUGUAUUUAUUGAGGCCAAUUCCUACAGAUAUCUUUUAAAUACAUUCAUACAAAGAACAUAAAGUCAAGGGGCAAGUGGGUUACCCUGCCGAAGUCCCCUCGAGCUCUUUCAACUUCCGGGGGGGUUCUCCAAUGUUCAGUGGGCAUUUUCACACACUCUAUAAUACGGUAGAAAAAACCCCAGCUUCUUUAAGGUUUCCUCAAUGAAAACCCAUUCUAUCUGAUAUCAUAUGCUUGUCUAAUAUCCAUCCUUAUAUGCUUGUCUAAUAUCUUUAUCCUUGGCCUUUUCUUUAUGCAAAACAUGAACCAGCUCUUGUGCAAGUAUUGCUUGAUGGUGGAGCCUUCCGUCCCAGAGCAAACCCGCUUAGAGGAAUAAAUCCGUGGAAGCACCCCGUUAGUCAUAAUCUUGGAAAUGGCCAACUACUUGGGGACGAAAUUGUGAUAAGCGAAAGAAAGACACAGCUUACCUAUCUUCUUUUGGGAUAAGGGCCAUGAAGGUAUGAUUUAGACCUUAACUCUAGGCAUAUGGUCCCAGA
Molecule: long non-coding RNA, 659 nt
Filed under: Musa acuminata (dwarf banana)
Lineage: Eukaryota; Viridiplantae; Streptophyta; Magnoliopsida; Zingiberales; Musaceae
Description: long non-coding RNA (MACU_LNC009002)
Source: RNAcentral